This 759-nucleotide long non-coding RNA is filed under the name Monodelphis domestica (gray short-tailed opossum). Its description in RNAcentral is "lncRNA (ENSMODG00000047205.1)". The record is from RNAcentral. Lineage: Eukaryota; Metazoa; Chordata; Mammalia; Didelphimorphia; Didelphidae.
AUGAUUGUCUGUUUGACAAGAUGCUGGAAAGGAGAGAGUGCAUCUGAGAGUCACAAACCAUCACAGAAAUUCAAUCGUGAGAGCAAAACUGUGACUGUAUCUCUGCAAGUGCGAAGAUUGGACUGCAGAAUGUUGAAAAUGAUAAGAGCCCUGGCCUUGGGAUCAGAAGACCUGGGUUUGAGCUCUACGCCUUCCAUUUUUGGUGCAAAGCUCUGCCACUAACGUUCUAUAUGACCUUCUGCAAAUGAAUUCACCUCUCUUAGCCCUGGUUACCUCUUCUGUAAAACAAAGACAAGAUCAUCUCUGAGACCCUUCCAUUUCCAGUAUUCUAUUCUUAAAGGUCCCAUUCACUCUCUUUUUCUAUUUUCUGUUCUAUGUUCUGGGGUCCCUUUUAUCUCUAGAAUUCUAUAUUUUAAGGACUGAUAGAAAUAUCACCAUUCCAUGUUCUCUAUUUAAAAAUUCCAUGAUUCCAUGACGUACUAGCUAUAUAAUUUUGGGCUUAGGUUUGUGUAUCUGCAAAAUGAGAUUAAUUCGGAGGGUUGUUAUAAAGAAAAGAUGAUAAAACUAUGGGAGAGUACUUUGAAACCAUUAAAUAUUUUUUAUUAUUGUUCAGUCACAUCUGGCUUUUUGGGAUUUCUUAAAUAUUAUAUGUAUGUUAAUAUCAUUAAGAAAAAAAUUUUGACAAUGAUCCCCAAAAUGCUCUGACCCGGACAAAAUACAAAAGCUAGGGAAACGAAUAAAGAAAAUGGGGAAAAAACA